CCAUGCUUCUCAGCCAAAAGAAGCCAUGUCUUCCUGGCCAUGCCUUCUUUUCUGGGCAGCUAUGUUAGCAGGUGUCCAAUCCCAAAUCAGGUUUGACCAAUCUGGUCCUGAACUUAGAAGGAUUGGAGAACAGGUGACACUCACCUGUAAGGCAUCUGGGUAUACAUUUACAAGCUAUGCUAUGAACUGGAUUAGACAGAAACCGGGGAAAGGACUAGAGUGGGUUGGCGAUAUUACGACAGAUAACUUUGCCACAAGCUAUGCGAAGGCUCUUGAAGGUCGAGCCGUCAUUACCGUGGACAUCUCUGUCAGCACCACGAACCUGCAGAUGGCGAACCUAAAAGCUGAAGACACAGCUGUUUAUUACUGUGCAAGAUACACAGCAUGGAAACCUACAUCCGAAGGCCUGCCAAAACCCCAGAGGAAAAGAGGAACCUCUGCUAGAGAAACAGAGUAUGAAUUCUAG
Non-coding RNA from Sphaerodactylus townsendi, 466 nucleotides. Lineage: Eukaryota; Metazoa; Chordata; Lepidosauria; Squamata; Sphaerodactylidae. The record is from the annotation of a RefSeq genome assembly.